RNA transcript from Amphimedon queenslandica, 1397 nucleotides. RefSeq lists it as uncharacterized. The transcript is spliced from 5 exons. The record is from RefSeq and is a predicted model, not a curated record. Lineage: Eukaryota; Metazoa; Porifera; Demospongiae; Haplosclerida; Niphatidae.
AAUAUUAUUUACUUUUUGAACUCAUUUGGUUGUUAACAUUGACCAUGUAGGUGGUCAGCACUUUUAAUGUGAUAGUAGCGUGUUGGUAAUUUUUGAGGGUACAAAUAUUUGUGGCUGGCAGUUAGCAAACUUCUUUUCACUUGGAUCUGCAACACUAGCUUGUGACACAUGGCUUUCAGUGGAAUGUGAAGUAAUAGACAAUGACUCUUGCUCCUCCACUAGCUUGAUAGUGGUAAUUAGAACUCUGCAUGGUCUGUUACGGUGUUAUCUAUGUGUAGGUGAUAAGGGUUGAAAUUUAAUGCAUGAAACUGAAUUGCAAAAUUAAUAAAAAAUAAAUUGUUCCCUGAAAAUUACUAACGGUAUGGUAUUGAUACAUGUUGUACACAGACAGUUGGAGUUUGACUAAACAAUAUCACAGCCAUCAUAAGCAUGCAGAAGGCUUAGUGGCUAUUAUAGAUCCCACUUUGAAGUGCCCUCCACUAUCUCAGUCACAAAUAACAUUAUGAAAUAAUUAUUAUAAACUUUCUUUCCAAAGCUUAAUAUCAUUUGAUAACAAAUGUGCUGUACUUGGCAUUUGUUCAUGUACAUCUAUGUUCAUUAUCCCGCAAACAGGCAGGCUCAUAGCGUUUGUGUAACUCUGUCAUUUUUCGAAAAGAAAUAGCUAAGAAUGAUCGUGUGAAGCCAUGUUUAAUUAUAAUUUUUUUAGACAUUGAACUCAUUCCUUGGCAGUCUCCCUCGAACAGAAUUCUGCUUUUACUCUAACAAUGAGACUGAGAUAAAUUCUGCUGGAAAUUAUUCAUACAUGUAUAGUAGAACUGAUAACUUUGGAUUAUUUGUGACAUUCUUAAUACAUUCUGAUGUUCCCAAAGGCAAACUACUCACACUUGACUUGACAGGAAAGGAGCUACAUACCAAGAUUAUCAGAGCCAAAGUAGAACAGAUAUAAAUUUGCAUGUGUUUUCAGUUUUCAAUACAUCUAAAGCUACAAACUGCUCUAAAAAUUGGUGUGCAAUCGAAGCUUGUGUCGUUGUAGCUGCACCAAUGGGCACAAAAAAUUUGAUAGAUUUUGAGAUGUUUUCAAAAACAUGUGCCAAUUGCUUCUGUUCACAGGAACUUGACUUUAUACAAAAAACUGAAAAAAAUAUAUUGAAAAUGUCAAAUGAAUCUUGUGCUACAGUAGUAAAGCCUUUUCCUGAAAAGUACAGAAGGCAUGGUUUAAUUUCAAUCUACUUAUCUCAGGUUGACAAAGAGAAGGCACAGAAUAAUAUAUUCAAGAUUACAUUAGUUUUUAUAGCACUGUUGAUAGUAUUUUUAAUUGGUAUGACUUGUACACAGUAUAAACAACCACAAAUGUCACACAAUGAUUGAAGUCAUUAUAUUUACAAGUACAACUAUUA